GACGAACGCUGGCGGCGUGCUUAACACAUGCAAGUCGAACGGAAAGGCCCUGCUUUUGUGGCGUGCUCGAGUGCCGAACGGGUGAGUAACACGUGAGUAACCUCCCCUUGUCUUUGGGAUAACUUCAGGAAACUGCGGCUAAUAUCGGAUAGGACCUCCUGCUGCAUGGUGGGGGUUGGAAAGUUUCGGCGGUUGGGGAUGGACUCGAGGCUUAUCAGCUUGUUGGUGGGGUAGUGGCUUACCAAGGCUUUGACGGGUAGCCGGCCUGAGAGGGUGACCGGCCACAUUGGUACUGAGAUACGGCCCAGACUCCUACGGGAGGCAGCAGUGGGGAAUAUGGCACAAUGGGCGGAAGCCUGAUGCAGCAACGCCGCGUGCGGGAUGACGGCCUUCGGGUGGUAAACCGCUGUCGCCUGUGACGAAGCGUGAUUGACGGUAAUGGGUAAAGAAGCACCGGCUAACUACGUG
Molecule: ribosomal RNA, 468 nt
Filed under: uncultured bacterium
Lineage: Bacteria
Description: partial 16S ribosomal RNA
Rfam family: Bacterial small subunit ribosomal RNA
Source: RNAcentral